Molecule: ribosomal RNA, 253 nt
Filed under: uncultured bacterium
Lineage: Bacteria
Description: partial 16S ribosomal RNA
Rfam family: Bacterial small subunit ribosomal RNA
Source: RNAcentral
UACGUAGGUGGCAAGCGUUGUCCGGAUUUACUGGGCGUAAAGAGCGCGCAGGCGGUCGUUCAAGUCGCGUGUGAAAGCCCCCGGCUCAACUGGGGAGGGUCACGCGAUACUGAUCGACUCGAAGGCAGGAGAGGGUAGUGGAAUUCCCAGUGUAGCGGUGAAAUGCGUAGAUAUUGGGAGGAACACCAGUGGCGAAGGCGGCUCACUGGACCGGUACUGACGCUGAUGCGCGAAAGCGUGGGGAGCAAACGGG